This 229-nucleotide ribosomal RNA is filed under the name uncultured bacterium. RNAcentral's name for it is "partial 16S ribosomal RNA". It matches the Rfam family "Bacterial small subunit ribosomal RNA", at positions 568 to 796 of the family's 1533-position model. The record is from RNAcentral.
UGCGUAGGCGGACUAAUAAGUCAGUGGUGAAAUCUUUCGGCUCAACCGAGAAACUGCCAUUGAUACUGUUAGUCUUGAGUUCGGUUGAGGUAGGCGGAAUGUGUAAUAUAGCGGUGAAAUGCUUAGAUAUUACACAGAACACCAAUUGCGUAGGCAGCUUACUAGACCGACACUGACGCUGAGGCACGAAAGCGUGGGGAGCGAACAGGAUUAGAUACCCUGGUAGUCC